RNAcentral lists this ribosomal RNA (633 nucleotides) under Neophysopella vitis. Its description in RNAcentral is "partial large subunit ribosomal RNA". It matches the Rfam family "Eukaryotic large subunit ribosomal RNA", at positions 15 to 633 of the family's 3401-position model. Lineage: Eukaryota; Fungi; Basidiomycota; Pucciniomycetes; Pucciniales; Crossopsoraceae. The record is from RNAcentral.
GUGGGAUUACCCGCUGAACUUAAGCAUAUCAAUAAGCGGAGGAAAAGAAACUAACAAGGAUUCCCCUAGUAACGGCGAGUGAAGAGGGAAAAGCCCAAAUUUGUAAUCUGGCUCUUUUAGAGUCCGAGUUGUAAUUUUGAGAACUGUUUUCAGUGCUGGACCAUGUUUAAGUCUGUUGAAAAACAGCAUCAUUGAGGGUGAUAAUCCCGUUCAUGAUAUGGACUACCAGUACUUUAUGAUACAGUCUCUAAGAGUCGAGUUGUUUGGGAAUGCAGCUCAAAGUGGGUGGUAAAUUCCAUCUAAGGCUAAAUAUAGGUGAGAGACCGAUAGCAAACAAGUACCGUGAGGGAAAGAUGAAAAGAACUUUGGAAAGAGAGUUAACAGUACGUGAAAUUGCUGAAAGGGAAACAAUUGAAGUUAGCCUUGUUAUUGUCAGUUCAGCUCUUUUAGAGUGUAUUCUGAUGAUUAACGACCAACAUCAGUCUUUGAGUGCUGGAUAAGGGUUUUGGAAAUGUAGCAGUCUCGGCUGUGUUAUAGUCCAUUACUUUGAUACAGUGCUUGGGAUUGAGGAUCGCAGUAAGCCAUUUUAUGGUGGACCAAAUUUUUGGUCUUCUUACUGAGGAUGUUGGUGAA